Hyla sarda is the source of this 136-nucleotide long non-coding RNA. RefSeq lists it as uncharacterized. The record is from RefSeq and is a predicted model, not a curated record. The transcript is spliced from 3 exons. NCBI's taxonomy places the organism in Eukaryota, Metazoa, Chordata, Amphibia, Anura, Hylidae.
GCUAGAUCUUCUUACAACUUGUCCAAAAUAAGAUUUCAGACUUUUCAAAUGGGAUUUUAGUGCUGGAUUCCACUUCUGCCGUUCUGCCAUGUGAAUGGGACCUUACAGUAUGGAGAUUACAUAAAGCUGUUGCCGA